Molecule: long non-coding RNA, 273 nt
Filed under: Elaeis guineensis (African oil palm)
Lineage: Eukaryota; Viridiplantae; Streptophyta; Magnoliopsida; Arecales; Arecaceae
Description: long non-coding RNA (EGUI_LNC045501)
Source: RNAcentral
CUCAAGAAUCAUGUCAUGCUCAUAAUUCAGAUUCAAUCAAAUCCAAUCAUAAACACCACUUUGAUAUUGUUUCUAAUAAUUUAGGAUUUCAUUAUAAAAGACUAGUUGGAAAUUAUUUAGAUUUGAUUUUGUAUAAAUAUCCAAUAUUUGCCUAGUGCAUGAUUGAUGUAGAACUAAAUAUAUGGUCGCAUGAAUGUUAUGUAUAAAAGGCUCAUAUGCAUUGAGCAUUGAAUAAAAAUCAGGAAAAAAAAGAGAGGAUUUGUUGUAGGGGAC